UGGGGAAUCUUAGACAAUGGGCGCAAGCCUGAUCUAGCCAUGCCGCGUGAGUGAUGAAGGUCUUAGGAUCGUAAAGCUCUUUCGCUAGGGAUGAUAAUGACAGUACCUAGUAAAGAAGCCCCGGCUAACUCC
Molecule: ribosomal RNA, 132 nt
Filed under: uncultured Alphaproteobacteria bacterium
Lineage: Bacteria; Pseudomonadati; Pseudomonadota; Alphaproteobacteria
Description: partial 16S ribosomal RNA
Rfam family: Bacterial small subunit ribosomal RNA
Source: RNAcentral